UCAAGUGAAUAAGCGCAUAUGGUGGAUGCCUUGGCAGUAAGAGGCGAUGAAGGACGUAGUAGCCUGCGAUAAGCUUCGGGGAGCUGGCAAACAAGCGAUGAUCCGGAGAUUUCCGAAUGGGGAAACCCAACCUUUCGAGGUUAUCGUAUACUGAAUUCAUAGGUAUACGAGGCGAACCUGGGGAACUGAAACAUCUAAGUACCCAGAGGAAAAGAAAUCAACCGAGAUUCCGUCAGUAGCGGCGAGCGAAAGCGGAACAGCCCAGUUACUAAAUCAUUAUUUGUUCUAGCAGAAUGUUCUGGAAAGUUCAGCCAUAGCGGGUGAUAGCCCCGUACGCGAAAGAGUAAAUAAUGUGGGUAACGAUGAGUAGGUCGGGACACGUGGUAUCUUGACUGAACAUGGGGGGACCAUCCUCCAAGGCUAAAUACUCCUUACUGACCGAUAGCGAACCAGUACCGUGAGGGAAAGGUGAAAAGAACCCCGGCGAGGGGAGUGAAAUAGAACCUGAAACCGUAUGCGUACAAGCAGUAGGAGCAUUUCUUCGGAAGUGUGACUGCGUACCUUUUGUAUAAUGGGUCAGCGACUUACUUGUUGUAGCGAGCUUAACCGUCUAGGGGAGGCGUAGGGAAACCGAGUCCGAAAUGGGCGUUUAGUUGCAACGAGUAGACCCGAAACCGAACGAUCUAUCUAUGGCCAGGGUGAAGGUCAGGUAACACUGACUGGAGGCCCGAACCCACUAAUGUUGAAAAAUUAGGGGAUGAGCUGUGGAUAGGAGUGAAAGGCUAAUCAAGCUCGGAGAUAGCUGGUUCUCCUCGAAAGCUAUUUAGGUAGCGCCUCGUGUAUGACUCUUGGGGGUAGAGCACUGUUUCGGCUAGGGGGCCAUCCCGGCCUACCAAACCGAGGCAAACUCCGAAUACCAAGAAGUUUUAGCACGGGAGACACACUGCGGGUGAUAAGGUCCGUGGUGGAAAGGGAAACAGCCCAGAUCGCCAGCUAAGGUCCCAAAAUCACAGUUAAGUGGAAAACGAUGUGGGAAGGCUCAGACAGCCAGGAGGUUGGCUUAGAAGCAGCCAUCCUUUAAAGAAAGCGUAAUAGCUCACUGGUCGAGUCGUCCUGCGCGGAAGAUUUAACGGGGCUCAAACUGUGUACCGAAGCUGCGGCAUCAGAAGACAGAUCUGUCUUCUGAUGGGUAGAGGAGCGUUCUGUAAGCCUGUGAAGGUGAAUCGAGAGGUUUGCUGGAGGUAUCAGAAGUGCGAAUGCUGACAUAAGUAACGAUAAUGUGGGUGAAAAACCCACACGCCGAAAGUCUAAGGUUUCCUGCGCAACGUUAAUCGGCGCAGGGUGAGUCGGCCCCUAAGGCGAGGCAGAAAUGCGUAGUCGAUGGGAAACGGGUUAAUAUUCCCGUACUUUACAAUACUGCGAUGGGAGGACGGAGAAGGCUAGGUCAGCCACCCGAUGGUUGUGGUGGUUUAAGUGUGUAGGAAGGGUUCUUUGGCAAAUCCGGGAACUCAAUUCCGAGACAUGAUGACGAAGUACGAACUUGUUCGUGCAAAGUGAUUGAUGCCACGCUUCCAGGAAAAGUCCCUAAGCUUCAGGUAUUGUAAAACUGUACUAUAAACCGACACAGGUGGACAGGUAGAGAAUACCAAGGCGCUUGAGAGAACUUGGGUGAAGGAACUAGGCAAAAUGGCACCGUAACUUCGGGAGAAGGUGCGCCCUUGGUAAGUGAAGGUCCUUGCGACUGGAGCUGAAAAGGGUUGCAGAUACCAGGUGGCUGCGACUGUUUACUAAAAACACAGCACUCUGCAAACUCGUAAGAGGACGUAUAGGGUGUGACGCCUGCCCGGUGCCGGAAGGUUAAGUGAUGGGGUUAGCCCUCGGGCGAAGCUCUUGAUCGAAGCCCCGGUAAACGGCGGCCGUAACUAUAACGGUCCUAAGGUAGCGAAAUUCCUUGUCGGGUAAGUUCCGACCUGCACGAAUGGCGUAACGAUAGCCACGCUGUCUCCACCCAAGACUCAGUGAAAUUGAAAUCGCUGUGAAGAUGCAGCGUACCCGCGGCUAGACGGAAAGACCCCGUGAACCUUUACUACAGCUUUACACUGAACUUUGAAUAUGCCUGUGUAGGAUAGGUGGGAGGCUUUGAAGCUGGAGCGCUAGCUCCAGUGGAGCCAACCUUGAAAUACCACCCUGGCGUGUUUGAGGUUCUAACCCUGUCCCGUAAUCCGGGUCGGGAACAGUGUAUGGUGGGUAGUUUGACUGGGGCGGUCUCCUCCAAAAGAGUAACGGAGGAGUACAAAGGUACCCUCAGCACGGUCGGAAAUCGUGCAUUGUGUGCAAAGGCAUAAGGGUGCUUGACUGCGAGACUGACAAGUCGAGCAGGUACGAAAGUAGGUCUUAGUGAUCCGGUGGUCCUUUAUGGAAGGGCCAUCGCUCAACGGAUAAAAGGUACUCCGGGGAUAACAGGCUGAUACCACCCAAGAGUUCAUAUCGACGGUGGUGUUUGGCACCUCGAUGUCGGCUCAUCACAUCCUGGGGCUGUAGCCGGUCCCAAGGGCAUGGCUGUUCGCCAUUUAAAGUGGUACGUGAGCUGGGUUUAGAACGUCGUGAGACAGUUCGGUCCCUAUCUGCCGUGGGCGUUGGAGAUUUGAGAGGAGCUGCUCCUAGUACGAGAGGACCGGAGUGGACGUACCUCUGGUGUUCCGGUUGUCACGCCAGUGGCAUUGCCGGGUAGCUAAGUACGGACGGGAUAACCGCUGAAAGCAUCUAAGCGGGAAGCCCCCCUCAAGAUGAGAUCUCCCGGACCUUUAAGGUCCCUAAAGAUUCGUUGAAGACGACAACGUUGAUAGGCAGGGUGUGGAAGCUCAGUAAUGAGUGAAGCUAACCUGUACUAAUUAAUCGUGCGACUUGACUAU
Molecule: ribosomal RNA, 2912 nt
Filed under: Coxiella burnetii str. Namibia
Lineage: Bacteria; Pseudomonadati; Pseudomonadota; Gammaproteobacteria; Legionellales; Coxiellaceae
Description: bacterial LSU rRNA
Rfam family: Bacterial large subunit ribosomal RNA
Source: RNAcentral